Molecule: ribosomal RNA, 509 nt
Filed under: uncultured bacterium
Lineage: Bacteria
Description: partial 16S ribosomal RNA
Rfam family: Bacterial small subunit ribosomal RNA (bases 20-328)
Source: RNAcentral
GACGAACGCUGGCGGCGUGCUUAACACAUGCAAGUCGAACGGAAAGGCCCUGCUUUUGUGGGGUGCUCGAGUGGCGAACGGGUGAGUAACACGUGAGUAACCUGCCCUUGACUUUGGGAUAACUUCAGGAAACUGGGGCUAAUACCGGAUAGGAGCUCCUGCUGCAUGGUGGGGGUUGGAAAGUUUCGGCGGUUGGGGAUGGACUCGCGGCUUAUCAGCUUGUUGGUGGGGUAGUGGCUUACCAAGGCUUUGACGGGUAGCCGGCCUGAGAGGGUGACCGGCGGCGGUGGGGCGUAGAUGCGGCCGAGGGUGCGAGGGGAGGAGUGGGGGGGGAAGAGGGCAAGAGGGGGGGAGGCCUGAGGCAGCAAGGCGGCGGGGGGGGGGAGGGGGGUGGGGGUGUCAUCCGCUGUCGCUGGGGACGAGGCGGGGGGGGAGGAGAGGGAGAAAGAAGCCCGGGGUAAAUACGUGCCAGCAGCCGGAGUAAUAAGGGGAAGAGAACAUGGAUGACC